AACGUAGGAGGCGAGCGUUAUCCGGAUUUACUGGGCGUAAAGCGCGUGCAGGUGGUUCGGUAAGUUGGAUGUGAAAGCUCCUGGCUUAACUGGGAGAGGUCGUUCAAUACUACCGGGCUUGAGUAUGGAAGAGGGAAGUGGAAUUCCGGGUGUAGUGGUGAAAUGCGUAGAUAUCCGGAGGAACACCAGUGGCGAAAGCGGCUUCCUGGUCCAUUACUGACACUCAGACGCGAAAGCUAGGGGAGCGAACGGG
Molecule: ribosomal RNA, 253 nt
Filed under: uncultured Longilinea sp.
Lineage: Bacteria; Bacillati; Chloroflexota; Anaerolineae; Anaerolineales; Anaerolineaceae
Description: partial 16S ribosomal RNA
Rfam family: Bacterial small subunit ribosomal RNA
Source: RNAcentral